ACCGCAAAGACAAACUCGUGGCAUUGAUCGCAUCAGGUGUUAAAAUAUCAGUUUUUUUUCUUUUUUUGCUGGUCGCAAAAUUAGUUGGAUUGAAUAAAUUUCCCUGCGCUUCCCUUGUUCCCGACAUCGCUAUUAUUGGAAGGUGGAAGAUCUCAUUUCACCGAGUGACGUGAUGGCGUCUUAACGGAGCUUAUUCCCGUUGCUACGUUGCAAAGUCAAAACCUUCCGGAGACGAGAGACGACCAAUCGAUUUAAAAAAGGUGACUCAAAAUAUCCAUGACAAGAGUGGAACGAUCAAUGGUGGAUGAGAAGCGAAAGUCAGUUGGUCAGCAGUGUGCCGAACAAAAUCAUGAAAGGCGCACUAACUGAUAAGCUUAAAAACUCAUGAUGAAAUGAGCGAAAAAAGAAUGCCUGCUGCCUGGAACAGCAGAGGCCAACAGCGUCACCGGUUCCAACGAUGAAACGACCUCGGCAUCGAUGUAUUUUUAUUUAACAGUGAAUAAAUAAAUGAAAUAAUUUCGAUAACAAAUAAAAAAUGUUUUGAAAAAGAAUUGAUUUGAUUAAAUGGAAUGAAAAAUUUGAAAGUGAAAU
Armigeres subalbatus is the source of this 591-nucleotide long non-coding RNA. RefSeq lists it as uncharacterized. Lineage: Eukaryota; Metazoa; Arthropoda; Insecta; Diptera; Culicidae. The record is from RefSeq and is a predicted model, not a curated record. The transcript has 4 exons.